This 403-nucleotide ribosomal RNA is filed under the name uncultured bacterium. RNAcentral describes it as "bacterial SSU rRNA". It matches the Rfam family "Bacterial small subunit ribosomal RNA", at positions 29 to 414 of the family's 1533-position model. The record is from RNAcentral.
AAUCAACGCUGGCGGCGUGCCUCAGACAUGCAAGUCGAACGCGAAACCUUCCUUCGGGAGGGGAGUAGAGUGGCGCACGGGUGAGUAACACGUAGGUAAUCUACCUUUGGGUGGGGAAUAACAGCCGGAAACGGCUGCUAAUACCGCGUAAUGCAGCGGCACCUAAUGGUGACAGUUGUUAAAGCGGGGGAUCGCAAGACCUCGCGCCUGAAGAGGAGCCCGCGGCGGAUUAGCUAGUUGGCAGGGUAACGGCCUACCAAGGCGACGAUCCGUAGCCGGCCUGAGAGGGCGGUCGGCCACACUGGCACUGACACACGGGCCAGACUCCUACGGGAGGCAGCAGUCGGGAAUUUUGGGCAAUGGGCGAAAGCCUGACCCAGCAACGCCGCGUGAAGGAUGAAGC